This 492-nucleotide ribosomal RNA is filed under the name uncultured bacterium. RNAcentral describes it as "partial 16S ribosomal RNA". It matches the Rfam family "Bacterial small subunit ribosomal RNA", at positions 29 to 507 of the family's 1533-position model. The record is from RNAcentral.
AUUGAACGCUGGCGGCAUGCUUUACACAUGCAAGUCGAACGGUAACAGGCCUUCGGGUGCUGACGAGUGGCGAACGGGUGAGUAAUGCAUCGGCACGUACCCAGAGGUGGGGGAUAACGCAGCGAAAGCUGUGCUAAUACCGCAUGUGAUCUGAGGAUGAAAGCGGGGGACCGAGCAGCAAUGUUUGGCCUCGCGCCUUUGGAGCGGCCGAUGUCGGAUUAGCUAGUUGGUGGGGUAAAGGCCUACCAAGGCGACGAUCCGUAGCUGGUCUGAGAGGACGACCAGCCACACUGGGACUGAGACACGGCCCAGACUCCUACGGGAGGCAGCAGUGGGGAAUUUUGGACAAUGGGCGCAAGCCUGAUCCAGCAAUGCCGCGUGCGGGAAGAAGGCCUUCGGGUUGUAAACCGCUUUUGGCAGGAACGAAACGGUGUCCGCUAAUACCGGGCGCUAAUGACGGUACCUGCAGAAUAAGCACCGGCUAACUACGUG